Long non-coding RNA from Thamnophis elegans (Western terrestrial garter snake), 781 nucleotides. RefSeq lists it as uncharacterized. The transcript is spliced from 2 exons. Lineage: Eukaryota; Metazoa; Chordata; Lepidosauria; Squamata; Natricidae. The record is from RefSeq and is a predicted model, not a curated record.
AGACGAGACCAAAGGCUUGUAGGCUAAAACAUAUGAAGAAUGGUUACAAGAAUUCAGCAUGGCUAGUCUAGGGAAAGACAAGAACCAGUUGUGACAUGUUGGGACCAAGGGUACUAAAGGGCUUUGAGGGUCAUCAGGUUAAAUAGCUUAGGCUAGGUCUCUGAGAUAAGUGGCUGGACACCUAAGUGGAAAAAUUACUGAGAACCCAGCCCACAUAAAUAGCCAUGGAGAAAUCCAGCCAAGUUAUCAAGGGAAUUCCAAGGAUGAGGCUUUGCACACAGCACUAAAUCUCCGCCCUUAAGGCUCUUUGCACAGGGCACUGGGAUCUGUGCACACGACACCUUGAAUUUUGCACCAGGCACUAAGAUUCUGCACUCAGUACGUAUGGUCCCACUGUUAGGGGAUGAUAACAUGUUACCAGUUAUGUUAAAACACCAAUCAUUAUGUUAUGCUUAGCUGCACCCCCCCUUUUUGUAUACAAUAAAGGUAGCAUUCUGGCAACAGAAAAAUGCUCAUUCUACCAAGACCCUCUCGUGUUCAUUUUCCUUUCGCCUUCUGAUGGUCUUGAAUCUCGGCCCGUAGAUUGAGACCACCACAGGUUGUGGGAUCCUGAGGUCGAUCGCCACAGUGACAUGAUAGAAGUCUUCCAAUAUAUGAGAAGCUGUCACAAAAGGUGUGUGUAUAUGUGUGUGUGACAAUUUUCCAAAGCACCAGAAAGCCAGAGAAGAAACUGCGUGCACACUGAUCCAGAAGAUUCAAACUAGAAAUAAAGAGAAUUUUA